Molecule: ribosomal RNA, 553 nt
Filed under: uncultured Pseudomonas sp.
Lineage: Bacteria; Pseudomonadati; Pseudomonadota; Gammaproteobacteria; Pseudomonadales; Pseudomonadaceae
Description: bacterial SSU rRNA
Rfam family: Bacterial small subunit ribosomal RNA
Source: RNAcentral
AUUGAACGCUGGCGGCAGGCCUAACACAUGCAAGUCGAGCGGUAGAGAGAAGCUUGCUUCUCUUGAGAGCGGCGGACGGGUGAGUAAUGCCUAGGAAUCUGCCUGGUAGUGGGGGAUAACGUUCGGAAACGGACGCUAAUACCGCAUACGUCCUACGGGAGAAAGCAGGGGACCUUCGGGCCUUGCGCUAUCAGAUGAGCCUAGGUCGGAUUAGCUAGUUGGUGAGGUAAUGGCUCACCAAGGCGACGAUCCGUAACUGGUCUGAGAGGAUGAUCAGUCACACUGGAACUGAGACACGGUCCAGACUCCUACGGGAGGCAGCAGUGGGGAAUAUUGGACAAUGGGCGAAAGCCUGAUCCAGCCAUGCCGCGUGUGUGAAGAAGGUCUUCGGAUUGUAAAGCACUUUAAGUUGGGAGGAAGGGUUGUAGAUUAAUACUCUGCAAUUUUGACGUUACCGACAGAAUAAGCACCGGCUAACUCUGUGCCAGCAGCCGCGGUAAUACAGAGGGUGCAAGCGUUAAUCCGAAUUACUGGGCGUAAAGCGCGCUUAUGU